Molecule: unclassified non-coding RNA, 438 nt
Filed under: Hevea brasiliensis (rubber tree)
Lineage: Eukaryota; Viridiplantae; Streptophyta; Magnoliopsida; Malpighiales; Euphorbiaceae
Source: RNAcentral
GAGAAUCACAUAUUUCUUCCCAAUGUACUCAGAAAGUUUAACCUUGAUAAAUUCCUGAUCAAAAACUGCCUCUGCCUCAAAAUCUGGUGCUACAUUUCCAACCAAUGGAAGUUCACUAGAAGCCCGGACAGCAAAGCUGCGUCUGGAGCGAGCUCCACGGGGGGAGGAGAAUGAACGAGGAGCUGAAGGCUGGAAGGAUUUGCGAAGACCGACGAAAGAUUUGGGAAGAGCUAGGGUUCGGGAGAAGGGGGCGGAAGCAAUGGGAGCACUGGACUUGGCGGGAAAGGAGGAAGGAUUGGAGGAGAGAAGGGCGGUGGAGGCGGCGGAGCAAGCCAUGCGGGAGGAGGAAGAAGGGGGAAAUGGGCAGCACAAAGUGAGGCUAAGGCGGAGAAAUGGAUAAGCGAAGUAAAGAGAAGGAAGCGCUGGAUUACUUUAAGC